Ailuropoda melanoleuca (giant panda) is the source of this 4117-nucleotide long non-coding RNA. RefSeq lists it as uncharacterized. The transcript is spliced from 8 exons. Lineage: Eukaryota; Metazoa; Chordata; Mammalia; Carnivora; Ursidae. The record is from RefSeq and is a predicted model, not a curated record.
CCCUGAGAUCAAGACCUGAGUUGAGACCAAGAGUUGGACACUUCACCGACUGACCCACCCAGAAGCCAGACUCCCGGAGUCCCGAUUCCAGGACUCUCCAUCAGCCCGGCCUCCAGUCCCUGGCGUGGUCCCCACGGUGUGUGCGUCCAGCAAUGAGGAGCUCACACCGGUGGUGCCUUCGAGGAAGUGCCCAGCUGCGGCUCCGGCUCCAGCGGACGCUGCCUGGGGCUCCUGGUCCGGGGGGGCCCUCAGUGGACACAGCGUGGGGGUCUGGCCCCUCUUGCCAUCUGGGAGCCAUCACAGCCCAGAGAGGACAGAAGACCUGCCUGACGCCCUCCAGCGAGAACCCGUGCCCUGCAGAAUGAAUGAGAGAGUGCAGGAACGAAUGGUGGUCCCACUGGAGCAACGUGGACUCUGCGUCCUCUGCGCAGGACAGCGUGGCAGAGGGCAAGUGGGAGAAACUGAGGCACAGAGAGAUCAUGUGACUCCCCGGAGGUCACCCAGCUAACACUAAGCAGAGCCAAGAUGUGAAUGCCUUGUCGUGUUCUCCCAGGGGCGAAUAAACACGUGGAGUCGCCUUGAGCAAGCCUGUUUCCCCACACUAACCGGCCAGAGAUGAACUGAGGGCAGGAGGGGAGGACGCAGAGAUGCAGAGGGAAGGCCGUGAGCUUGGGUAGGCCAGUGGUGGCCCGCAGCGCCCAGAGGCUGGGAAAGGAGCGUCCAGAGGGAACCCCCUGCCCACACCUUGGUCUCAGACGUCUGGCCUCCAGAUCUGGAAGAUGCUCCUCCAGGGUGGACAUCACCCUGUGGCCGGCCCAGCCCUCACCCAUCCACCCCAGAUAGGCCCUCCCUAAUGUGACCUCCCUCGGAGAUCGGAUCCGUUGUCCACAUGGUUCUAGCUCAUGGAUAUGCCGCGUGAAUGCCCCAUGACGGGGAGGAAAGGCCGGGCCUGGAGGUCAGCUCCUGAAAGUGGCAGCCGGCUGCCCCCUCUCCCUGCCCCACCUCUGCUCUCUCAUCGGUGGGGCCUGACCUGCGGCUCCCUCUGCAGAGGAUGGCCUGGCAAUCUGAGCUGGGAGCUGGGGAGCAGUUCGCCAAAGGGACUAGAAGGGACUGAAGAAAGCCUGCAGAGAGUUGUGUCUCCUAGAUCUGACAAUCCAGACAAAGCCAGUCCCAGAGUUCCCAGGAGCCUGUGGAGAAGAAGCUUCCAGAACCUGGUAGGACCAGCUGCAUCCACGGGAGGCCCCAGGCUGAGCCCCGGCAGGGAAAGCAGACUUGACCUCAAGUGGGGGCACCAUACUGCCUACGAGCCUGAUGGGGAGGCAGAGUAGAGCCCCACGGGGCCUCGUGGUCAUGCGGGGCCCCCUUUCCUUGGCCACCUCUCUGUAUACCUUCAACGGGCAGCUCUGAAGCGUCCAGUCCCCUGCUGCCCAGGAGCCCCACGGACCCAUGUCCCUGCGCAAGAGGGUCAGGCUGCCUGCUUGGCUGAAAAAAGCAAGUGGACGGUACUGUUAUCCUCAUGCCGUGGGAGGAAAACUGAGGUUCAGAGCAGGAACAUGGCAGGUCCGGGGUCUUGGAGCUGCAAGGGGGCCCCUCUGGGUUGCAAGGCAAGCAGUCUGGCUCCAGAGGGGUCCCCAGUCCCUGGGCUGUGCUCAGGCCUGCCUGCAGCCUCCACUCCCAGCCCCCUUCCCCAGGACCCUAAGGCCCCAAAGGGCCUCCUGGCCACCUGGUCAGCCCUCCCCAUGCCCUCUCGGGCUCCCCAUUUCCUGUCCUGAGCCCAGCACCUCCCCUUCCUCCACGGAUGCCUUGGCUGUUUGGCUCAGUGGGUUCCCGGUGGGAGCCUUUGGGCCUAGGGCAAGGGCAGGGGAGGAGAGCGCCUCAGGCUGGGGAAGGGGGCGGGGGUAGCUCGCCGGCCACCCCCUUACAGUUUUUAGACCUCAAGGAGUCACCACGAAAUUCCAUUCUCCUGACAGCAAAGAAACUGAAUCACUCUUGCCAAAGCCCACGGCCCUCACAAGAACGCUAGAAGGCUUUGUCCUGCUGUUCCCAGACAGGCAGCCGCAGCCAGGGUGGGGGGGGCCCACUCCCCGAGCCUGGCUGCAGACAGGCGCAGGAAAGCCCCCGCCAGGCUGGACCUGUCCCUCUCUGUGCAGUUGCUCCCUCUCCUUGCUCCCUGCGUCCACUGAACUUCACCUUGCUUUCUGUAUAACGGGCUCGCUGCUCGCAGGGGUCCCGUGUGUCAGAGGGUCCUGUAGCAGGACACAAGUCUGAGAAAGCAGGGAGUGCCAUCCCCUCGGCAGGGCCUUGUCGGGUGGGAGCGCGGGGCACCACGGUGCUGUGCUGCUCCCCCUCGAACCCUUAGAGAACACUCAGCACCUAGAGGGUACCAAGGAUGGAUGCCACUGACCUGAAUCCCAGGUAUGGGCACAGCUCAUGCAAAGAUUUGGGGGCUCAGUGGUGCUUGUGCUGUUGGGGAAUGGGGAGGAUGGCAGGGUUCAGCGAGAAAUGGGGCUGGGAAUAAGUAGACACCAGGCCAGGAUUUGAGUUCAGAGGCAUUGGGGAGCCCUUGAAGAUUCUGUGGGGCACCUGGUUGUGCUUGUGCGUGUUGGCGGGGGGGGGGUAUGAUUAGCGGUCUGGUUCCUGAGGGCAGAACAGAUGGAGCAGGGGGACGGGGGACAGGGAGACCAGGGUGGAGACUGCCCAAGAGGUCCAGAGAAGAGAUGAAGGUGGUGGGGGGGAACUCCUGCUCAAAAUAGCCCCGAUUUGGGAUGGAUGGGAGUUGGCGGUGGGGCCAGGGACCCAGGGACUUCAGACAUGAGGCUGGGCUGGCGCUCGGGGGACUGUUUUGGGGCAGCCUUGCCCACCCCCACCUCUCCAGCUGCCAGGAGGCUCCAAGACUGGGCUCUGGCUGGUGGGGGAGGGGUUUAUGGCAGGAGGUGACACCACAGGAGACUUGUCACUUGGGCACGGCCAGCGCCAUCUGCUCAGGCAUCUGCCUGCCUGAGGUGGCGCCUGCUAAUUACCUGGGCUGGGGGGGGGCGCAGGAAGAGGCCUGGGAACCACUAGCCCCCAUCACACCCCGUGUGACAGAGGGGUUGGGGUACAGCCCCAGGACCCUAAGAGCAAAUGGGCCACAGCCCCGCCCCCUCCGCGGUGGGCGGGACAGACAUUUCCCCAGUAAAUCCUCACAGAGCACCUACUACGUGCCAGCCCCGUUCUGCCCUUGACAUUCGGGCGCAGGAAGGGGGACCCAUUGCAGGCAGAGGCCUAAGCGCUGUGCGGAUAACUGGCCAGUGGGCAGAGUGAGCGCUAAAUGGGACGCGGGGCCCUGGUGGUCGCAGAGGGCCUCCGAGGAGGGGAUGUCAGAACCGAGAGGGAGGGGAAGGAGGCGCAGCCAAGCGGAGAGCCGCCCCCAGCUGCGCUUCCGGAAGACGCCAAGGGCAGGGAGCUCGGACCCUGGUCCCGCGCCAGGGGGCCCCCUGGCCACUUCCGGGCCCCUCGCCCCUCACCCUCAGCGCGGGCUGCUGGCGCGCAUUCCUGCCGCCCCUGCUCGUGCGGUGGGCCGGCCCGGCCCGUGGGAAGGCCUGGGGGUGGGGGCCGCCGUGUGCCGGGGAGGCGGGGCGGGGGCACAGCUGGGCCGCAUCUGGCCUGAGCAUAGAGGAACCAAAUGGGACAGAAAGCAGCCUUUCAUCCCGCGAGGGGCGGGCGACCUCAGUUUCUUCUCGCCACGGGGCGCCCGGAGGAUUUCGGGGACCAGCUCGCCACCCCCGCCGCGGGGCUGGGAUUCGAGGAAAUUUGCUCGGGGCGGGGGGUGGGAAGGAGAGCGCUGACGGUGGAAUUUAAUACAGGUGCUUUCUCGGUGGAAACACGUGUCCCUGCCCGUAGCUCGGGGGGCUCAACUCCUCAGUAUUAAUCAGCGCAGCCUUAGACCGAGCGCUCAGGUGCACCUAGGCGCCGCCCCCAUUCUUGGCACGCACCACCCCAAGGGGAGGACGCCGGGCUCGGGGAGGGGCGCGCACAGCGAGGAAGGGGGGACGUCUCCUGCGGGACUGCGGAGCCCGAAGCCCCUGGGCCAGAACCCCGGUCACCGCGCUGAGGGCGCGCCCUUCCGCGUGCCGGA